UUAUGAUGAUCCUCCAGAUGACGAGUCCGAGCGUGCCCUUGCGAGUUUUCGUCGGGGACCGUGUUGACGAGUCUUUCAAUUUAAUACCAUUCAUGCUUUUCUGACC
This 106-nucleotide small nucleolar RNA is filed under the name Peniophora sp. CONT. The record is from RNAcentral. Lineage: Eukaryota; Fungi; Basidiomycota; Agaricomycetes; Russulales; Peniophoraceae.